UCUUUAAGUAAUCAUUUAAAGUACAGCCUGCUCAAUUCUAACGUAAAUAGCCGCAGCUCCACUGUGCUAAGGUAGCAUAAUAAUUAGCCUCCUAAUUAGAGGAUAGAAUGAAUGACUAAACGAGACGACAACUGUCUCACAAGCUAAAGAUAAAACUAAUAUAUCAGUAAAAACGCUGAUAUAAAAAGCAGGACGACAAGACCCUGAAGAACUUUCCAUUUAGCUGGGGCGGCUCUUAAAAAAACCUUGAUACUCACUAAAUAACAAACAACUAGAAUAUUUAACUCAAGUUACCGCAGGGAUAACAGCGCAAUUCCCCUCAAAAGCUCCAAUCCAAAGGGGAGAUUACGACCUCGAUGUUGAAUUAAUUCCCUAAACCUGCGCAAAAGCAGUUAUAAGGUGGUCUGUUCGACCAUUAAAUAAUU
RNAcentral lists this ribosomal RNA (425 nucleotides) under Artema sp. C JE-2017. RNAcentral's name for it is "partial 16S ribosomal RNA". It matches the Rfam family "Bacterial large subunit ribosomal RNA", at positions 1832 to 2597 of the family's 2925-position model. Lineage: Eukaryota; Metazoa; Arthropoda; Arachnida; Araneae; Pholcidae. The record is from RNAcentral.